Molecule: ribosomal RNA, 253 nt
Filed under: uncultured bacterium
Lineage: Bacteria
Description: partial 16S ribosomal RNA
Rfam family: Bacterial small subunit ribosomal RNA
Source: RNAcentral
UACGUAGGGUGCGAGCGUUAAUCGGAAUUACUGGGCGUAAAGAGUGCGUAGGCGGUUCCGCAAGUCCGCUGUGAAAGCCCCGGGCUUAACUCGGAACUGCCAAGUGAAACUGUCAAGCUAGAGUGCGGAAGGGGCAAUCGGAAUUCUUGGUGUAGCGGUGAAAUGCGUAGAUAUCAAGAGGAACACCUGAGGUGAAGACGGGUUGCUGGGCCGACACUGACGCUGAGGCGCGAAAGCCAGGGGAGCAAACGGG